UUAACAGAUUCCUUCGGGAUGACGUUUUUAAACUUAGUGGCGGACGGGUGAGUAACGCGUGGGUAACCUGCCUUACACAGGGGGAUAGCAGUUGGAAACGACUGGUAAUACCGCAUAAGCGCACAGUGUCGCAUGACACAGUGUGAAAACACUCCGGUGGUAUGAGAUGGACCCGCGUUGGAUUAGCUAGUUGGUGAGGUAACGGCCCACCAAGGCGACGAUCCAUAGCCGACCUGAGAGGGUGACCGGCCACAUUGGGACUGAGACACGGCCCAGACUCC
RNAcentral lists this ribosomal RNA (281 nucleotides) under uncultured Lachnospiraceae bacterium. RNAcentral describes it as "partial 16S ribosomal RNA". The stretch from base 42 to 281 matches the Rfam family "Bacterial small subunit ribosomal RNA", at positions 100 to 339 of the family's 1533-position model. The record is from RNAcentral. Lineage: Bacteria; Bacillati; Bacillota; Clostridia; Lachnospirales; Lachnospiraceae.